RNAcentral lists this microRNA precursor (76 nucleotides) under Myotis davidii. RNAcentral describes it as "mir-9229 microRNA precursor family". It matches the Rfam family "mir-9229 microRNA precursor family". The record is from Rfam by way of RNAcentral. Lineage: Eukaryota; Metazoa; Chordata; Mammalia; Chiroptera; Vespertilionidae.
GAGACACCCCUGUGGUACAGGACUUGCUUCAGUGGGGCUUGGGUGCUCACUGAGUCUGCUCCUUGAGUGUGUCGCU